UCUCUCCAGCCCCCAAAGGUUCUGUUAUUACAGAGAAAAUUAGCAUGGCCCUGUGCAAGGACAACACAGAAAUUUAUAAGUAUUCCAUAUUUUU
Molecule: small nuclear RNA, 94 nt
Filed under: Nannospalax galili (Upper Galilee mountains blind mole rat)
Lineage: Eukaryota; Metazoa; Chordata; Mammalia; Rodentia; Spalacidae
Source: RNAcentral